UUCCGUAGGUGAACCUGCGGAGGGAUCAUUACCGAGUUUACAACUCCCAAACCCCUGUGAACAUACCUAUACGUUGCCUCGGCGGAUCAGCCCGCGCCCCGUAAAAAGGGACGGCCCGCCCGAGGACCCCUAAACUCUGUUUUUAGUGGAACUUCUGAGUAAAACAAACAAAUAAAUCAAAACUUUCAACAACGGAUCUCUUGGUUCUGGCAUCGAUGAAGAACGCAGCAAAAUGCGAUAAGUAAUGUGAAUUGCAGAAUUCAGUGAAUCAUCGAAUCUUUGAACGCACAUUGCGCCCGCCAGUAUUCUGGCGGGCAUGCCUGUUCGAGCGUCAUUUCAACCCUCAAGCUCAGCUUGGUGUUGGGACUCGCGGUAACCCGCGUUCCCCAAAUCGAUUGGCGGUCACGUCGAGCUUCCAUAGCGUAGUAAUCAUACACCUCGUUACUGGUAAUCGUCGCGGCCACGCCGUAAAACCCCAACUUCUGAAUGUUGACCUCGGAUCAGGUAGGAAUACCCGCUGAACUUAAGCAUAUCAAUAAGCGGAGGAA
This 548-nucleotide ribosomal RNA is filed under the name Fusarium sp. P-DZ-3-2-3. Its description in RNAcentral is "eukaryotic LSU rRNA". The stretch from base 181 to 334 matches the Rfam family "5.8S ribosomal RNA". Lineage: Eukaryota; Fungi; Ascomycota; Sordariomycetes; Hypocreales; Nectriaceae. The record is from RNAcentral.